UUAAGCGACUAAGCGUACACGGUGGAUGCCCUGGCAGUCAGAGGCGAUGAAGGACGUGCUAAUCUGCGAUAAGCGUCGGUAAGGUGAUAUGAACCGUUAUAACCGGCGAUUUCCGAAUGGGGAAACCCAGUGUGAUUCGUCACACUAUCAUUAACUGAAUCCAUAGGUUAAUGAGGCGAACCGGGGGAACUGAAACAUCUAAGUACCCCGAGGAAAAGAAAUCAACCGAGAUUCCCCCAGUAGCGGCGAGCGAACGGGGAGCAGCCCAGAGCCUGAAUCAGUGUGUGUGUUAGUGGAAGCGUCUGGAAAGGCGCGCGAUACAGGGUGACAGCCCCGUACACAAAAAUGCACAUACUGUGAGCUCGAUGAGUAGGGCGGGACACGUGGUAUCCUGUCUGAAUAUGGGGGGACCAUCCUCCAAGGCUAAAUACUCCUGACUGACCGAUAGUGAACCAGUACCGUGAGGGAAAGGCGAAAAGAACCCCGGCGAGGGGAGUGAAAAAGAACCUGAAACCGUGUACGUACAAGCAGUGGGAGCCUCUUUAUGGGGUGACUGCGUACCUUUUGUAUAAUGGGUCAGCGACUUAUAUUCUGUAGCAAGGUUAACCGAAUAGGGGAGCCGAAGGGAAACCGAGUCUUAACUGGGCGUUAAGUUGCAGGGUAUAGACCCGAAACCCGGUGAUCUAGCCAUGGGCAGGUUGAAGGUUGGGUAACACUAACUGGAGGACCGAACCGACUAAUGUUGAAAAAUUAGCGGAUGACUUGUGGCUGGGGGUGAAAGGCCAAUCAAACCGGGAGAUAGCUGGUUCUCCCCGAAAGCUAUUUAGGUAGCGCCUCGUGAAUUCAUCUCCGGGGGUAGAGCACUGUUUCGGCAAGGGGGUCAUCCCGACUUACCAACCCGAUGCAAACUGCGAAUACCGGAGAAUGUUAUCACGGGAGACACACGGCGGGUGCUAACGUCCGUCGUGAAGAGGGAAACAACCCAGACCGCCAGCUAAGGUCCCAAAGUCAUGGUUAAGUGGGAAACGAUGUGGGAAGGCCCAGACAGCCAGGAUGUUGGCUUAGAAGCAGCCAUCAUUUAAAGAAAGCGUAAUAGCUCACUGGUCGAGUCGGCCUGCGCGGAAGAUGUAACGGGGCUAAACCAUGCACCGAAGCUGCGGCAGCGACGCUUAUGCGUUGUUGGGUAGGGGAGCGUUCUGUAAGCCUGCGAAGGUGUACUGUGAGGUAUGCUGGAGGUAUCAGAAGUGCGAAUGCUGACAUAAGUAACGAUAAAGCGGGUGAAAAGCCCGCUCGCCGGAAGACCAAGGGUUCCUGUCCAACGUUAAUCGGGGCAGGGUGAGUCGACCCCUAAGGCGAGGCCGAAAGGCGUAGUCGAUGGGAAACAGGUUAAUAUUCCUGUACUUGGUGUUACUGCGAAGGGGGGACGGAGAAGGCUAUGUUGGCCGGGCGACGGUUGUCCCGGUUUAAGCGUGUAGGCUGGUUUUCCAGGCAAAUCCGGAAAAUCAAGGCUGAGGCGUGAUGACGAGGCACUACGGUGCUGAAGCAACAAAUGCCCUGCUUCCAGGAAAAGCCUCUAAGCAUCAGGUAACAUCAAAUCGUACCCCAAACCGACACAGGUGGUCAGGUAGAGAAUACCAAGGCGCUUGAGAGAACUCGGGUGAAGGAACUAGGCAAAAUGGUGCCGUAACUUCGGGAGAAGGCACGCUGAUAUGUAGGUGAAGUCCCUCGCGGAUGGAGCUGAAAUCAGUCGAAGAUACCAGCUGGCUGCAACUGUUUAUUAAAAACACAGCACUGUGCAAACACGAAAGUGGACGUAUACGGUGUGACGCCUGCCCGGUGCCGGAAGGUUAAUUGAUGGGGUUAGCGGUAACGCGAAGCUCUUGAUCGAAGCCCCGGUAAACGGCGGCCGUAACUAUAACGGUCCUAAGGUAGCGAAAUUCCUUGUCGGGUAAGUUCCGACCUGCACGAAUGGCGUAAUGAUGGCCAGGCUGUCUCCACCCGAGACUCAGUGAAAUUGAACUCGCUGUGAAGAUGCAGUGUACCCGCGGCAAGACGGAAAGACCCCGUGAACCUUUACUAUAGCUUGACACUGAACAUUGAGCCUUGAUGUGUAGGAUAGGUGGGAGGCUUUGAAGUGUGGACGCCAGUCUGCAUGGAGCCGACCUUGAAAUACCACCCUUUAAUGUUUGAUGUUCUAACGUUGGCCCCUGAUCGGGGUUGCGGACAGUGUCUGGUGGGUAGUUUGACUGGGGCGGUCUCCUCCUAAAGAGUAACGGAGGAGCACGAAGGUUGGCUAAUCCUGGUCGGACAUCAGGAGGUUAGUGCAAUGGCAUAAGCCAGCUUGACUGCGAGCGUGACGGCGCGAGCAGGUGCGAAAGCAGGUCAUAGUGAUCCGGUGGUUCUGAAUGGAAGGGCCAUCGCUCAACGGAUAAAAGGUACUCCGGGGAUAACAGGCUGAUACCGCCCAAGAGUUCAUAUCGACGGCGGUGUUUGGCACCUCGAUGUCGGCUCAUCACAUCCUGGGGCUGAAGUAGGUCCCAAGGGUAUGGCUGUUCGCCAUUUAAAGUGGUACGCGAGCUGGGUUUAGAACGUCGUGAGACAGUUCGGUCCCUAUCUGCCGUGGGCGCUGGAGAACUGAGGGGGGCUGCUCCUAGUACGAGAGGACCGGAGUGGACGCAUCACUGGUGUUCGGGUUGUCAUGCCAAUGGCACUGCCCGGUAGCUAAAUGCGGAAGAGAUAAGUGCUGAAAGCAUCUAAGCACGAAACUUGCCCCGAGAUGAGUUCUCCCUGACUCCCUGAGAGUCCUGAAGGAACGUUGAAGACGACGACGUUGAUAGGCCGGGUGUGUAAGCGCAGCGAUGCGUUGAGCUAACCGGUACUAAUGAACCGUGAGGCUUAACCUU
This 2903-nucleotide ribosomal RNA is filed under the name Escherichia coli KTE1. Its description in RNAcentral is "bacterial LSU rRNA". It matches the Rfam family "Bacterial large subunit ribosomal RNA". Lineage: Bacteria; Pseudomonadati; Pseudomonadota; Gammaproteobacteria; Enterobacterales; Enterobacteriaceae. The record is from RNAcentral.